CCGCAUCUUCCUCCGACUCGCCGUCCGCCCCGAUUCGCGAACCAAACCCUAACCCUACCUCAUCGCUCCAAUGGCCGGAGACCCGUCGCCGUCGCCGUCGCCGCCCGGAUCCCCCGCCAAGCACCGCCGCCGCCGGGAGCGCGACGACGCGGACCCCGCCCCCGACGCCUCCCCGAAGCGCCGCAGGCACCACCACCGCCACCACCACCGCUCCCACCGCCACCGCCGUCCGGACGACGCCCAGCCCCCGCCGCCCUCUGCGGCCGACGGAGAAGACGUCGAGGAGGGGGAGAUACUAGACGAUGCCGGCGCCGGCGCCGGCGGGGCUAUGGAAGUCGAUGGCGGCCCCCGCGGGGACGACCCCGCAUCUCCGCGAGCCGACCCGGAGCUAGUCGGUGAUCAUGCUGGCACCAACUCGGCCGUUGACGUGACGCAGCCUAGUCAUUCUCCGCCCUCAAAAGAUGAAGGCAGGUUGAAUCACACUGCUCGUGGCUCUGAAAGCGUAGGUAUCUUUUCAGGUGAUGAGGAUAAUAAUGGUAAAGGACAUGAACAGAGUCACAGGGUGUCAAAGUCUCCACGGCCGACAAAGGACAGGGGAAGGAACCAUGAGGACGAGCGUCAAACUCUGUCCUCUAAUAACGAUUCUCAUCAGAGAGAUCACACCACCAAGAGAUCUCCUUCCUCCAGGAACCACAUUGAAGAGGUUCAUUCUAGGAAUCACCCAAGGUCCGGAGAAGCUGAUGCCAAAGCUAAUGGUUCGCGGGCAAGUCCAAGGGCUGACCCUGAUCGUGACAACAACGACAGGAAUGGUUUUGGUAGGCAUGCAACUAGGACACGGGAAGACGACAGAGAAAGGAGCAGCAGUCGUGUUGUUCGUGAUGGACAUAGUGAUAGGCGUGAUAGCCGGGAAAGAUAUAUGGAUGAAAGAAGGCACAGCAGCAUAGAUAGAGACAAUGUUGAUCGUAGGCACAGAGAAAGGAGCAGCAGUCAUAGUAGACCUGACAGAAGGGAGAGCGCACACCACACUCGUGAAGAAAGCAGGGAGAGGGAAAGGCGAAGUGGUAGCUCAAGGCAUAAAGACCAUCAUAAAAGGGAUACAAGCAAGGAUCGUUAUAAAGAUUAUGUCACGGUUGCUACUGGACAUGAAAGGGAUAAAGUGAGAGAUGAUAGAGACAGGGGCCGGCACAGGGAUAGAGAAAGUGAAACUCGUAGAAGUGGAGCUGGAGAACGCAAGGACAGAAUUAGCAGUAGUGAUAGACACAAGGACUCUACACGCUCGAAAUAUAGCACGUCUGAUGCUCAUAAAGACAGGUCAAGAUCUGGGGAGAAAGGUAGAGAUGUAGACAGCAGAAGCCAUCGAUCUAGAGAAGUGAAGGAACAUUCUUUCAAGGAGGAAGAUGAAGAAGAGUAUCAAGAGAAAAUUGAGCAACAGUUAGCAAUGCAGGAAGAAGAUGACCCUGAAAAAAUUAAGGAGGAAGCGAGGAGAAGGAAAGAAGCUAUUAUGGCGAAAUAUAGGCAGCAACAAGCACAGAAGCAGCAACCGGAAUCUUUACCUAGAAGCAAUGAUGAAGAAGCAAGAGCAGUGGAUAAAGAUGAGACUGUAGAUAUGAAAGGUGAUAAUGAUAGCAAUUCUACGGACAACGAGGAAGCUGAAAAUAAGCAGGACUCUUCAGAUGCAUUUGUUGGUGAGGCAGACUUCAAUGUGGGUAAGUCCCCUGCUCAUGAUGCUGUUUUAGCCUGUGCUGAAGCAUUGGGCAAUGAGGGGACAACAGGUGUUUCAGGCCUUGGAGAGGGUACUCCAAAGAGUGAGAGAUCGGCAGAUAUGUUUUGUGAUGACAUCUUUGGAGAGUCACCUGCAGGAUUUCGGAAAUUGGGCAAGGGAGACGGCUUGUGUAUUGAGAAAAAUGCUCUGCAUGAUAAUUGGGAUGAUCCUGAGGGUUACUAUACUCAUCGAUUUGGGGAAUUGUUGGAUGGCCGUUAUGAAAUUACAGCCGCGCAUGGGAAGGGGGUGUUCUCAACAGUCGUGCGGGCAAAGGAUCUUAAAGCUGGGAAAGAUGAUCCUGAAGUAGUUGCUAUUAAAAUUAUUCGCAAGAACGAGACAAUGUAUAAGGCUGGUAAGCAAGAGGUUUCAAUAUUAGAAAAAUUGGCAAGCGCGGAUCGUGAGGACAGGCGCCACUGCGUGCGGUUCAUUUCUAGUUUCAUGUACCGGAACCAUCUUUGCUUAGUUUUUGAAUCUUUAAAUAUGAAUCUCCGUGAGGUACUAAAGAAAUUUGGUCGCAAUAUUGGGCUUAAACUGACUGCUGUGAGGGCAUAUUCAAAGCAGCUUUUCAUCGCUCUGAAGCACCUGAAAAACUGCAAAGUUCUGCACUGUGAUAUAAAGCCAGACAAUAUGCUGGUGAAUGAUGCUAAGAAUGUCCUGAAGCUAUGCGAUUUUGGCAAUGCUAUGCUUGCUGGAAUGAAUGAGGUCACGCCUUAUCUUGUCAGCCGUUUCUAUCGGGCACCUGAGAUCAUUCUUGGGUUGCCCUAUGAUCACCCAUUGGACAUCUGGUCAGUCGGCUGCUGCCUAUAUGAACUUUCUACUGGAAAGGUCCUGUUUCCAGGUGCAACUAAUAAUGAUAUGCUUCGUCUUCAUAUGGAACUGAAGGGCCCCUUCCCUAAGAAGAUGCUCCGAAAGGGUGCUUUCACGAUGCAACACUUUGACCAAGAUCUCAAUUUUAACGCUAUUGAGGAAGAUCCUGUGACCAAAAAGCCUAUGAGGAAGUUGAUUCUUAACAUCAAACUGAAGGAUUUUGGUUCUUUGGUUUCAAAUUUUCCUGGCGAGGACCCAAAAAUGCUCUCCAAUUUUAAAGACCUUCUUGAAAAAAUAUUUGUCUUAGAUCCAGAUAAGAGGAUAACCGUAUCACAGGCACUUAGCCAUCCAUUUAUCACUGGCAAGUGAAAAUAAGAUGUUGAUUCCUCUUGACAUUGUAAACUACAAUUUGGGUUCCUCUUGUCUAAUCAUCGGCAUUUCUAUCUUGUGUCUGGGAGCUAUGAGAUCUGAGUGCGUGCCAAAUGGACGAAGCAUGGGGUUGCUGAAGAGAUGCUGUCUUACGGACCUUGCUGCAUGCACUUACCAUUUGGAUAGUUCUGUUGCUUGGUUUCUGCCAGGGCCUCUGCUGCAUGCACUUAUAUAUCCUAAAGGACCAACAGAAGAAGGUACCCUGGUUGUUAUCUGGGUAACUUGUGUGUUUGAACACCAUAUAACAUUAUUUCCCCCCUAUUGAAAUCUGAUGAUUCUGCGAUUAAUUUUGCUAGACGAGUCAUGUGUAGAUGUAGUGAUACUGAAGGUGCCCUGGUUGAUAUCUGGGUAACUUGUGUUUGAACACCAUAGAACAUCAUUUCUUUUUCUCUUUUGAAAUCUGAUGAUUCUGUCAUUAAUUUUGCUAGAUGAGUCAUGUGUAGGCGUAAUGAUACUGAAGGUGCCCUGGUUGACAUCUGGGUAACUUGUGUGGUUGAACACCUAUAACAUCAUUUCUUUUUUCUCUUUUGAAAUAUGAUGAUUCUGCAAUAAAUUUUGCUAAAUGAGUCAUGUCUAGACGCAGCGAUACUGAAUUUUGUCAAUAUUGGAUAUUCACAUGUUCUUAUGUUGGUCAUCUGGUUUCUUCCUUAAUACCCGUCCUUUCUGAAUUUAGCAUUUCUUUGCUAUUUGGGAUGGCUAUGGUACGGCAAAUGAAAUGCCAAGAACUCUAAACUCUUUCAUCCCUACAUUUUGCCAUGCCACCUUUCUCCACCUGUAGGAUGAUUAGUGAAUGGGGCAAUAGGUGCGUGUGAAGUGAUCAAAAUACAAACAAAUGUAGCUUGUCAUUUCCUUUUCUGUGGGAUCGUUGAAGUUAUGGAUCUUUUUGAGAAUUUGAUGUAGACUGAAAGUCCACACUGCUAUCUACUUCUGAUAUUCUGUGCGAAUGGGCUUGUGAUGUUCAUCUUUCCUCUAUUAGUUGUGCUUGCUUUACGAAAAGGGUUCUAAGAAAGUCUUUUCUUGUUAUGCACCACUAUCACUCCAUGUGGAAUAUCAGUCAAAAGUUUUUAUUGUUUUUAUGUUUGUUGAGGUCCAGGGAUGGAGAUUCCUGGAUGCACUGGGUAUUACUACACCUUGUCUUGGUAACCUCUUUCAACUAGCUGGAUGUGUCAAUGUUUCAGUUCGUCAUUAAGAGUCUUUUUCAUACAAAUGUUUUCUGUAUAUAGGUCUAGAUGUUAUUUUGAUCCCUUACAGUUUAACGAACUUGGAAUUCAUUGUAAGCCAUGCUUCUAUGUAGAUCCACAACAGUUUUUUGUUAAAAAGAUCGCAAGUUUUUGUGGAGAAACUAAAAUGUUAUUUUGUAUUACAACUCCUGUAGCAUUUGGCACUAUCCUGCAGUGAGAAAUCUAAGUCGUAUGUAGCAAAUAAUCUGCAUGUGUCCAAAAACUUAGCACAAGUAUAUAUAUGCAUGUAGCAUGGUAGAAGUAGGACCGAAUGCUAGUUUAUUAACUGAGGCAAAGCAUCAUCACUUGUCAGUUGCUUCCUCCAUCAAAGUUUUAAGGCCACUUAGUCUGGUUAAGUCAAAACUGUUCUAAAUUCGAGCAAGUUUGUAGAAGAAAAUAUCAACAUGUAUACAAUACCCAAUAAAUACAUUAUUACGAAGACCUAUUUCAUGACUGAUCUGGUGUUCUUUUUUGGGUGUGUCUAGGGCACAUAUAGAUGUGCUCUAGUUAUUGCACAUCUAAGUUAGUGAAUCAAGCAUAAAGAGAAAAAGAAAAACAUAAAGAAAAUAUUCACACGAAUCUCAAUGUAACAUGUGCUUUAGCAAAACUGUUCUUUUUUCUACAAAUUUGGUCAAACGAAGUGGCCUUAAUAAGAGGGAGUAAGAGAAGGCAAAGGCAAAUGGCUAGCUGUACUUGUCCCAUGUCGAUAGAUUCACGUGGCCUUUUCCUAAUUUUAUUAUCUGAAACUUCAUCCUGAAGCUCAUGCUUAUGCAAGCCAUUUUUAUUUUUGACCUGAUCAUAUAUGCUAUAUGCAUAUGUAUGCAUCAUGAAACAUUGGCGAGAUCUAGAAAAUUAAGCACCUUGAUGGAUACAACCUUUUGUCUUGGAUGAGUGCAAUUUGCCUGAUUUACUUCCACUUGUGUCAGAAAACUUGACCUUGGACUGGAUGGUAAGUGCUUAGAAAUUACGAGUGUCGUUCUGACUUUGUGUUUCACUUUCCUUCUCUUAUUUUUUUGUUCAUGUUUUGAGUAUCCACCGACAUUUUGAACCAUCUAUAUUUUAGUAAAACUAUAACAUGAAUAAAUUAUAUUUAUCUGAUUAUUAUACUUUCUCCGUUUUGUAAUUCUUGUCGUGGUUUUUAGUUAAAAAAUGAACUAAAAUCAUGACCAAAAUUAUGGAACGGAGGGAAUACUAUUUUGCUAACAAUAGUGGCUGUGUGUUUCUGGUUAAAAGGUUGUUUGUAAAUCUGAAAAAAAAGGUUGUUUGUAAAUCUGAAGGAAUUGCUUGUAGGCUAGGUUAUUGACAAGUUACUCCCUCUUUAAACAAAUGUAAGACGUUUUAGGUCACUACUUUAUACUCCCUCCAUUCCAAAAUAUAGUGCGCCCGCGUUUCCUGAGGUCAAACUUUGACCAUAAAUUUAACGAACGAGACCGACUGCGGCGGGAGAAAAAGUUACAUAAUUAAAAACUUCUUUCGAAUACGAAUUCACUGAUAUAACUUUUGCCCCCGCCGCAAUCGGUCUUGGUAGUUAAAUUUACGGUCAAAGUUAAAGCACGGGGAUAGAGGAAGCACCACAUUGUGGAAUGGAGGGAGUAGUGUUCUAAAAUGUGUUACAUUUGUUUACAGCGGGAGUACCAUAUGUAGGAUGCUUUUUUUUUAGGAAUUUACAAUUCAUGUGUUAUUCCUGUUGUUACUCGAAGGAUAGAUUGCAUUACAUAAUGUGCUAACAGCUGUAGUGAUGCUGAUUUGAUGGACAAGGACUGUCCGUCCGUCUGUUCGUAGUUUUUGUCCUUUGAACCUUUUUUCAGGGCAAGGUUAGUUGGCUGCAUGGGUGACAGAAAGUGAGAGUUCUCAGCAGCAUCCUUGGUAUCCAUCAUAUAUCUACUAUUCCAAGUGCAGUGCAGGGGGAGAUGAGAUUUUGUGAUUUUGCUUGGUACGGUGGAUGGAUGUAUGAUGGCUAAUUUCAGUUGUCUUGGAUUAGAAUGCGAUAAAUAAUCUGCAAUUUCAUUGGUCAUCAUGAUUUAAUGAUGCUAAAUUUCCCCAA
RNA transcript from Triticum aestivum (bread wheat), 6262 nucleotides. It is a transcript of the gene named serine/threonine-protein kinase prpf4B, with no coding region annotated. Lineage: Eukaryota; Viridiplantae; Streptophyta; Magnoliopsida; Poales; Poaceae. The transcript has 13 exons. The record is from RefSeq and is a predicted model, not a curated record.